AGAAUACUUCUUGACUGUAAAUUGAUUAGACAGGACUGCUUUUUUAGCUGAAACCUGUAUUACGUGACAGCGGCAAAUAACCCGCUCGUGCAGUCUUGGGGACUCACUGACUAGGAGCGCCACUUUCCACGGUUUAACCCAGACCACAGACCAACCCAGCAAAGAGGAGGGGCGGACUCGACAGCGACGCAUAACUGUCGGACAGAAAAGGGCAAGAGGCCAAAUCUCUCAAGGAGCUGAAUACAGAAGAAGUCUGCCAGUGGUUUACCAGUAUUGGACUGCAAAAAUGUCUCCCCUUCAUCAAAGAAGCGAAACUGUGUGGAGCAGACAUAGCCUCGGUGGAUGUGAGCACUCUGGACAUCCUCCAGAUCAGCACACUGGAAGACAGGGAGCAGCUGCUGUCAGCCAUCUAUAAUGAGCUUCACCCUCCGAGCACCACCGCUCAGAGAAUCGACUCUUUGCUCGAAUCCUUAGGGCCAAAUACCGUGGAGACAUUCACGUCCACUCUGGGGUCAAUGACCAAGUCCAAGUCUUCUCCUCAUGUGAGCUGCCUGAGUAUGAAUCGACGUUCCCUCAGAAACAGCAGCCAAAAGAAUACGGCACAGAGAAAUUCACAUCUAAUAGAAAUUACUAUUAAUGCAUCAGAGCGUAUAGUUCAUCUCAGAACGCCAAAGGAAACAACAGUUGGAAAAAUCAUGGAGUCGUGUGUUAAAAUGCUGGGAGUGACAGAAGAUAAGAGCCUGUUCACAAUGAAAGAAAAGCAAGGUUCACCUGAGGAGCUCUCACUAGAUCAGCAGAUCGGGACUUUACUGACAUCAUCAUCAUCAUCGGAGAACAGACAGCUGGAGUUGUACUUGUGUAAAACGGACAAACCAGCAGGUUCAGCCACCCAAAAUAGUGCAGAAGUAAACAGUUCCAGCGAAAAUGGCAGCAGCAACAACCAAAACAUCCAGCCACCUAAAGAAGAAAGAAUCAGGGAACUAAACCAACAGGUUGACUCGCUCCAGAAUGUCAUCCUUCAGGUCCAGGAGCUCCACCACGGCCUGGUUGCUUUUUGCUCCGAGUUAAAGAACAUGGAUGGAGAUGUGAAGUUGGACAAACUUGGGUCUGCUGAGCUGAAGCAGAAGCUGGAUUUGGUUCACAGCCAACUGAACGACAAAAAGCAGAACCUGCAGACCCUCAGAGACAACAUUAACAACUUUACUGCUCACAAGAAGAAACAGCUGGAGGUUCGUCUCUUGGAAAAGAUGAAGCUGAACUGCCAAGUGUUCAAGGAGGAAAUUUCCAUCGUACAUCUCAACCGACAGGCGGCUCACCUUCAAAACGUCUUACAAGAAAGCUAUGUUAAGGAGAAAGCUCAAAAAAAGACUUUGGCCAUUGGUAGCCUGAGCCAGCUGGUGUCACCACAGUCUCCAGCCAUGCUGCUGGUUGUACAGGAGAACCAGAGCCCUGAUGGCCAUUAUGGGUUCAUAUGUCGCUACAGGGAAGAAGGCGGACUAGUGGUAGUCAAGGUGGACAAUUCUCACCUCUGCGUGGAUGACAGAUUGGUGGAGGUGAACGGUGUACCGGUUGUCAACUCCACACAGGAAGAGCUGACUGACCUCCUGCUGCAGGGACCCAGUGCUCAAAUUGUUGUCCUUCGCCAACCCCCGCCCAGCCUCACCUCCCCUCUGUUCCUGCAGCAUACGGUCAGCCCUGAUCCCGUGCAAACAGUCUGCCCAGAGGGAGAUGCAGUCACCAUGGAAACCCCUCCACAGCGUAAGGUGAUGGCCAUCUGAUGAUUACAAGGAAGAGAAAAAAAAGACUGAGAGAAUUGCGAUGAGAAAAGUCUGCAGUCUUAUAGUUUUUUACCUCCAUAUGUGAACAUGCUUAUUGUACUGGUGAAAUGUUUCUCAUUGAUUGUUGACAAUCGCCUUUUAGUUAGAAAUGUCAUGACUGUGUUUUUCACCAUAGGUACAUAACUUUAUUCUUGGUAGUCAGUAAUGUAUAACAGA
Molecule: long non-coding RNA, 1994 nt
Organism: Amphiprion ocellaris (clown anemonefish)
Lineage: Eukaryota; Metazoa; Chordata; Actinopteri; Pomacentridae
Source: Ensembl